AUACUUUUUUGUAGCCCUAGUUAAACAAAAAUAUUUUCAGAUUGAUUUAUGUUGAAUGGUGAUCGCUGGGGACUGAUUUGAAUUCGUUCCAUUAUUCCCUAAUUUACUGAUUUCAGCAGGGAUCAGAGAAAGCGAAAUUGGCAGAAAAAUCUCAGUGAUUACUCAGUGUACAAUUGAUCAGGGGAAAAACAUCCUUGAUUGAUCAGAUCAAUAGUGAUUUCUAACUUGAUCAGACUACAGUGAAUCAUGGUACUGGCGAAGAACUGUACAGUUAGUACAUGAAGAUUGUACGUUUCAAGUUCAUAUGAAAGCAGAAAAGUUUCUUGUUCAACGUUGAGAAUCAAUUCAGUAUUUGUUCUGAUCCACGGAGAGUCCUGGCAAACUUCAUGAAAGGCUUCCAGUCAAAUUUACAUGGCGAGAAAUGUUCUGAUAGUAAUAGGUUUGCUUGUACUAGGCAUACUUGUGUUCUGUCUAUGCUGCUACAAGGU
Molecule: long non-coding RNA, 488 nt
Organism: Eurytemora carolleeae
Lineage: Eukaryota; Metazoa; Arthropoda; Copepoda; Calanoida; Temoridae
Exons: 3
Source: RefSeq, a predicted model, not a curated record